This 406-nucleotide ribosomal RNA is filed under the name Paenibacillaceae bacterium CL5.66. Its description in RNAcentral is "bacterial SSU rRNA". It matches the Rfam family "Bacterial small subunit ribosomal RNA", at positions 90 to 482 of the family's 1533-position model. The record is from RNAcentral. Lineage: Bacteria; Bacillati; Bacillota; Bacilli; Caryophanales; Paenibacillaceae.
GGUUAGCGGCGGACGGGUGAGUAACACGUGGGUAACCUGCCUGUAAGACUGGGAUAACAUUCGGAAACGAAUGCUAAUACCGGAUACGCAGCUUGGUCGCAUGACCGGGCUGGGAAAGAUGGAGCAAUCUAUCACUUAUAGAUGGACCCGCGGCGCAUUAGCUAGUUGGUGAGGUAACGGCUCACCAAGGCGACGAUGCGUAGCCGACCUGAGAGGGUGAUCGGCCACACUGGGACUGAGACACGGCCCAGACUCCUACGGGAGGCAGCAGUAGGGAAUCUUCCGCAAUGGACGAAAGUCUGACGGAGCAACGCCGCGUGAGUGAUGAAGGUUUUCGGAUCGUAAAGCUCUGUUGCCAGGGAAGAAUGCUUGGGAGAGUAACUGCUCCCAAGGUGACGGUACCUGA